This 6059-nucleotide unclassified non-coding RNA is filed under the name Rhipicephalus microplus (southern cattle tick). Its description in RNAcentral is "protein lingerer-like, transcript variant X1". Lineage: Eukaryota; Metazoa; Arthropoda; Arachnida; Ixodida; Ixodidae. The record is from RNAcentral.
UGGACGUGUUUUAUUGUUCUAAGAUAACCGAAGUGGCUCCGUACUCGGGCUUGUUGCGCGCGCGAUAUUUUUGCACGUUUUUCCCGAAUCACAAGAUCCCGAGGCGUCGAUGUGAAUUUUCUUUAGGGCUGACUUUUGUACAUAACAUUUUGUACAUACGGUAUUCAAGUGAUGAGUUCGAGUAAUACACAGAGGGCGGGGAAAAGCAGCCGGGAUCGAGGGAACAAGUCACCGUCGGCGGCGACGACACAGUCCCCCAAGGCGGUCACUGCCACAGAUGGGCAUGCCAAGCCGCCCGACGGCUUCAUUCCCAAAGUCCAGCCAACUCCCGAACAGAUCAGGCUGGCACAGAUUAUCAAUGACCCAACGAAGCAGGAUGAUCCGGACAUCAAGAACAAAGUCCAACAGGUGAUGGAGGUGACAGGCCAGUCCAGUGAUGCAGUCGUGAUAGCACUGCAUGACUGCGACAAUGACCCCACGCGAGCCAUCACCAUGCUCAUUGAGGGCAACAAGCAGGAGGGCGAGUGGGAGACUCGGGGCAAAAAGAAAAAGCCUGCGAAGGAGGGCAGCCAGCAGCAGCAGCAGCAACAACAGCAGCAGAAAGGGGACCAAGGUGGCCCCGCGAGCAGCAACAAGGAAAACCGUGGGGGGCCUCGCGGGGAGGGCGGCCCCCCACGCAACAUGCCCCGGGGGUCUGGGGGAGGAGGCCGAGGAGGAGGUCGUGGAGGCAGCUGGAAGAACAAGGAAAUCGAGAAGAAUGAGAGAAACCUUGAAGACGGGCGCACUGGCGAGAGAACUGGCGAGAGGACUGGUGACAUGCGACCACGAGGAGGCAGCAGACGUGGUGGCAGAGGCGGCAGAGGAGGUGGCAUUGGUGGGGGGCGUGGUAGCCGCACGUUCCAGAACCGAGGGCUGGGCGGCCAUGAUGGCUUCCCCCAGUCCAUGGACACAUGGACCAACAGCACAUCUACCGGAGGACAGCGACCAUCUAGGGGAAGCCAGCAGCAACAGCAGCAGCAGGACACCAUGGCAGUCGGUAACUGGAAUGACCUGGCAGUCAGUGAAGACUGGAGUGAGGAGGACUGGACCGGACAGUUGGAAACUAAAGUGUUCACGGCUAGUGGAGCUGCUGCGAUACCUCCGCCAGCACCCGACACGGCGAGCAUCAUACAACUGUUGAAGGAGUCUCCACACGAGUCCAUCAGUGUAGCCCAGUACAACCAGCAAGCCACAGAAUCCAUCAAGGCUGCUGUUGGGGUUGGCUCAGCAGCCAAUUCGGUGAGCAACAGCAGCUACCCCGUGGCACAGGUGGUGUCCUCCACAGACUCUCCUUCCGUCACAACCUCCAAGCCAGUUCCUGCACCCCAGCGGACAAAGACACCGAGAGUGCGGGUGCCGCCGCCAUCGAAGAUACCGGAGUCAGCUGUGGAAAUGCCAGAAGACAGUGCUGUGUCAUCACUAGAAGUGCAGUUCGGUGGCCUCGAGUUUGGCACGGAUACGUUUGACUUUGGGGCCAAUGAUGGCUUGGCAGCAGUUUCCACUGCACAACCCACGAUGCCACCUGGGCUGGUUCAAACAGAGCAGUCAUCAGUUGCUGCAUCUGUUCCAUCAUCCACACCUUACAUGGACGGGCAUCACUCUGUCAGUAAGGUUCCAUCGUCGACAGUCAUCUCCAGCAGUCCCGUGGGCCCGCUGGGUCCUUCCCCGGUUGCCAGCAAGGACGUCUCUUCUGCGACAGCCGGCACAAUGCCACAAGCACAGCCACAACAACCGUCACAGCCACAAUCUCAACAACAGUCACUACCGUCACAGCCGUCGGCAGCAGCACCACCCAGUGCCUCCCUGCCGCGACCUCCUGGCAUACCGGCGCCCAAGGAACCUCCUCAGGGACUGGGAAACAGCGUGCCCCCGACAGCGAAUGCAUUGGGUGCGGCUCCUGCGUCCUCUGCGACCUCGGUCGCAGCAUCUGCAACCUCCUCGGCCAGUCACAAGCCUGGCUCUGUGAUGACCCCUGAGCAUCUGCUGCUCCAGUCUCAAUCUCACUCUGAGCGCAGCAAACCUGUGUCGUCCUCAUCUGUGGCUGGUCCACAGUCCAAGAUGUACACCGGUGGAGCUGCCACACAGAGGAACAGCCAAGGGCUAGAAGGUGGGCUGUCUUCGGCGGGCAAAGUGGAGCAGCCAAUGUAUUCGUCGGCAGGGGCUGGAGGCCAGCACUACGGUGGUGGGGCCUACCCGGGGGGUGGGGGCAAGGGCCUUGUGGGCUCCUACUUGGCCCACUCUCAGGGCUUCCCAUCGGCCACUACUGGGCAGCAGCACUACUACACUGCUCAACAGCCCACGAGUUCCACGACUGCAGCCUUCGGCCAGCAGCAGAGCAAUGGUUACCAGGGUCCUUACCAGAGCAAUGCCUAUUCUGGGCCGAGCCAGCCACAGCAGGCAAACUACGGGGUCUCUUCCAAGCUCUCGGCGUCCGCAGGGUUGGGUCCUCACUCGGUGAAGGAUUCAGUGCUUGAUUCUACGUCUCAGCAAGGAACUGCCAGCCAGCACACCUACGAGAACGCUCAUGUUCCCGCCACCGCAGCGGGGAUGCCACCUGGGCCAGCGUCGACGCUAGCAACUACAGCCUCCUCGUUAGCCGGUGCCACGGCAACAACAUCUGUGCUCAAGAACUCCAUGUCAGCAACGGGGAAGACCAUGCCCACAAUGCCGCCUGGAGUGCCUGCCAUGCUUAGCCACCAGUUGUUUGUGGGAAAUGCUGCCAUGCCAUACUAUGGCUUGCAGCAACAGCAUUUGUAUAGCUACGAAGACAUGCAGAUGCUACAGACUAGAAUGCCACCCCUGGGCUACUAUGACAUGCAGUACCCUGUGCCUGCCACAAGCCUCGCCGGACGAGACCUCACGUUGAACAAUAUGGCUUUUGCAGAGGGUAGCAAGUUUGGCCGUGGUGAGAACAGCGACAGCAGCCCAGGCACAGUAGCUGGGGUGGGACCACAGGGGGCUGCGGCCGGUGCUGCGGCUGCUGCCCAGGGUGGGGCCCAGGGUGGACAGCAGGGGGCACCCCCCACGGCAGGACAGCAGGCAGCAGCCAGCCAGCCGUUUUUGAGCACACUGCCCCCUGGGUAUGGCUACUACUACCCAUCCAACAUCAUGCCUGGAUCCAUCCACCACUACGGACCGCCGCCCAUGUUCCCUGCGGGUAUGAUGGCCUAAGUCAGACACCAGACUAUGCCAAAAAUACCUACGGCGCAGGUUCACAGGGACAGGCUAAGGGCAUCUCAGGUUCAUUCUUUUGAGAAGCCAGGCUUUCUGGCAGGCUCGCAGUCUUCGGCAGUUGCAGCAUCCUCGGCAGUGGCGGCAGGCCACCAACAGCAGCCUGGAGGCUCGUCUUACCCGCAGUUUGCAGGACCUCGCGGGAUCACCACCUUCGUUGGCAAAGCAGCAGCAGCAACAGCCAAGUGGCCAUGUGCGCCAGGGAUACCCCUCCUACUGGAGCAACUGAAAUGUGUUGUGCUUGUGUGUCUCCUCUCUCUGCAACAGUUACUCCCUCCUCCUCCUGGCUCAAGCAGUUUCUUUUGACUCGUUCUCACCCAGACCUUAUGUAACAACUCCUCCCACUUUCUCUGUCAAAGAGGGUCGGGAGCAGAAAAGGUUGUCUGUCUAAAUGCGCUCACAAGACAGUCCUCCCCCGCCCUUUUUCUGCUGUCACCCCUCCCCAUCGGUACAUUUUUCAUACUGUUUGCAGUGCUACGCUGUCUAAAUCUAAAUCUGUCUAAAUCGUAGGUUGUCUAAAUCAUAGGUUGUCUAAAUCAUAGGUUUCCCGACGGCUGGCUGCUUGUGAGAGCGGGUGUGCAAGUCUGUGGUGUCUCGUGCCUCGGUGUGCUGUGGUGGUGCCUGCUCUAGUGACGGUCAUGUUGCCCACUGCCGUGGUUUUCCUCUCUUUUUUUUCUCUGCGUUAAAAGACCAUAUUUUUCUUUAUUUACACGUCUUGUGUUUUACGCUUGGCCACACUUUUCUUCCUGUACCUGGCUUUUCUUUUUCCCCCUCUUUUUAUGCCAUGCAGUUGCUGCAUUGUAGCCCCUACAGGCCUUUGUUUCUUUUUCUUUAGUUUUUGUCGUGGACUUGUAUGAGAGCGAAAGACUCCGCGCACGCACUGGCAACUGCAGACUCAAGAUACGUUUUUGCGAUCUGUGGAAGCAGGACCAACUAUGUUAUCAGGCCUCGCGUAGGACAAUGCAGUGAUUUUUUUAUUUUAUUUUUUUUUUCAACAUAUGCUGCUGCACUCGUGGGUUCUUUCUUUAAUCUUUCUGAUGUAAUUUUCUUUCUGUAUCUUCUUUUUUUUUUAAUGCAUUGCACUUUGGCCCAUUGGUCUUGUUUGAUGUACUUUUUUUCGUUCUUAUUUUUUUACACAGAGACUGCCUGCCGCCAGCCAGUUGUAAGGAAUCUUUUGGAAAGCUUUCUUUUGCUGUGUGUCAGUGCACCAUUAAUGCACCCUUAAUGUCGACCAUUAGCACUGAAAUUUCUCAGCGAAAUUGGAAAUUUUCAAAAAAAAAAUGUUUAGCAUUGAUGAAGUGUACAUUUUCAGUGUAUCUUAGUCAACUGAAAGUGGGGGGCGUUUAGAUAACAGGCUUGACCUGCUUUUUUUCUUUUGCCUUGGCCUUCUGGAGCCAGAAUUUUUUUCUAGCUUCCCGAACGGUUUUAUUCCCUUUGCGAAUGGUUUGUUGAAGCUUAUUUCUUUUUCCCUGUAAUCGGUACCACAUCGAAAUGGCAAUGCUCCGUCUGUUCGAAGCCCUGCAAGAACAAGAGUUCGAGCAAAGACUCUGCACAGCACGUUGAAAUAAAACAAAAGGAGGAAGCAGUACAAAGUGUACUGAAGACUUUGCAAGGUCCAAAUGGCACAUUUCUUACUGCAUUGCGCAGGACUGAGGGCUUCUUUGUUGUGGAACUGCCGGUAGAGAAUGAAACCGCGAAGGGAGCUGAAAGUCGUGCGCUUUUUUUUUUUUUUUUUCGCAAUAAUUUUUCUUAGCUGAACUUAUCCCAUUUCGCCUUAGCUGAACUUAUCCCAUUUCGCACGCUUACUUUUCCUUUCUUUCGUUUUGCUUCUCCAUGGCGUUGUGUGCAUGCACUCGAGAGUGGUUCUUUUGUACAUAUAUUUGCCAGGAAGCGAUAUUGUUGUGAGCACCUGGCGGCGUUCAUAUUGUACGCCAUAUUUUUUACGGCUUUUUCUUUCCUUUCCCCUGCAUUGGUAUGUGUGUGUUGUGUGCUUGGGUGUGCGCAUACUCCUUUCAUUGCUUUUUUUUUUUUCUAUUGUAAAAAACAUAUUUGUCAAUGCAAUUAGCAUUGUCUUGUGCUGGCAGGCAGGCCAUCUGUUUUGUUGUAAAAGUGGGGAAACGCAUCACCUCCACUUAUUUCUUUUUCAAAAGCAAGCUGCGUAUAAAACGAAAAUGCAUAGAGUGCGGUUGUUGCGUUUACAAACUAUAAUUUCGACGAUUACGUUUGUCGGGGUGUCUGUUUUAAGUGGCGCUUCGAUUGCGUUCGAUGAGAGAACGGCAGCAGCCACCUGCAGUAGUGUUUUUUUCUACUGAGCCAUUUUUCUAAUGUUGUUGUCGUCCUCCUCCUCCUGUAAUAUUUUUGUGCUCGCCCCACCACCUCCAUUUUUGUUUGUGAAGUUGACGUACAUAAAAUAUAUAUAUAUAAUGUAUAUGUAUACAUAUUCGUAGGGAAAGUGAGAAAAAAAAAACGGAGCAAACAAGGAAGUCUCUAUGUAAAGUUGUUUCACCCCCCACGCAAAAUGGAGUAAAAUGUGUGGCAAUGCUGUGUGAAAUCAGGACGAGAAGAAAAAGAAAAUAAAUGUUUGUAAAUAUAUGAAUAUACAUUUUUGUUUGUUUUCUUUUUGACUGUGUUUAUCAGCCUCCUUGCAGUGCAGAAUGCUCAUGGUCUGAUACAAGCAUGCAAAUGGGAAGAGUUGGUAGUUUCUGUUUGUGUGGUGAGAAGGUGUGAUAUAUAAAUAUAUAUAGUUUGUGACGAGAGGCCCCAGAAAAAAAUAAAAUACUUGUCAUUAA